UUGAACGCUGGCGGCAGGCCUAACACCUGCAAGUCGAGCGGAUGAAGGGAGCUUGCUCCUGGAUUCAGCGGCGGACGGGUGAGUAAUGCCUAGGAAUCUGCCUGGUAGUGGGGGAUAACGUCCGGAAACGGGCGCUAAUACCGCAUACGUCCUGAGGGAGAAAGUGGGGGAUCUUCGGACCUCACGCUAUCAGAUGAGCCUAGGUCGGAUUAGCUAGUUGGUGGGGUAAAGGCCUACCAAGGCGACGAUCCGUAACUGGUCUGAGAGGAUGAUCAGUCACACUGGAACUGAGACACGGUCCAGACUCCUACGGGAGGCAGCAGUGGGGAAUAUUGGACAAAGGGCGAAAGCCUGAUCCAGCCAUGCCGCGUGUGUGAAGAAGGUCUUCGGAUUGUAAAGCACUUUAAGUUGGGAGGAAGGGCAGUAAGUUAAUACCUUGCUGUUUUGACGUUACCAACAGAAUAAGCACCGGCUAACUUCGUG
Molecule: ribosomal RNA, 483 nt
Filed under: uncultured bacterium
Lineage: Bacteria
Description: partial 16S ribosomal RNA
Rfam family: Bacterial small subunit ribosomal RNA
Source: RNAcentral